This 271-nucleotide ribosomal RNA is filed under the name uncultured bacterium. RNAcentral's name for it is "partial 16S ribosomal RNA". It matches the Rfam family "Bacterial small subunit ribosomal RNA", at positions 86 to 354 of the family's 1533-position model. The record is from RNAcentral.
UGCCGGCGACCGGCGCACGGGUGAGUAACACGUAUGCGACCUGCCCCCGCAGGGGGAUAACCGGGAGAAAUCCCGACUAAUACCGCGUAACGCCGCGGACCUGCAUGGGUCUGCGGCCAAAGGAAGCGAUUCCGGCGGGGGAUGGGCAUGCGGCGCAUUAGCUAGUCGGCGGGGUAACGGCCCACCGAGGCGACGAUGCGUAGGGGUUCUGAGAGGAAGGUCCCCCACACUGGUACUGAGACACGGACCAGACUCCUACGGAAGGCAGCAG